RNAcentral lists this ribosomal RNA (820 nucleotides) under uncultured Laribacter sp. Its description in RNAcentral is "partial 16S ribosomal RNA". The record is from RNAcentral. Lineage: Bacteria; Pseudomonadati; Pseudomonadota; Betaproteobacteria; Neisseriales; Aquaspirillaceae.
GAAUCUGGCGUGGCCCCAGUCCAUGCCGGUUACAUGGCCUGGAACACGGCCCGGGCCUUCGUGGGUAAGGACAAGUCCCGCCCGGUGCCCGAGCACCUGCGCAAUGCGCCGACGAAACUGAUGAAGGAACUGGGCUACGGUAAGACCUACCGCUACGCCCAUGACGAGCCGGAGGCCUACGCCGCCGGGGAAAACUACCUGCCCGAGGGCAUGGGCGAACCCGGCUGGUACCAGCCCGUGCCCCGGGGGCUGGAGGCGAAGAUCGCCGACAAGCUGGCCCAUCUGCGCGCCCUGGACCGAGCCGCCGGGAAGGAGGACUAGCAUGGGGCGCCGCUUGCUGUUGUUGCUGGCGGGGCUGCUCUGGUCCCUGGGGGGAUGGGCGGCCGAUGAUCUGUGCCUGGAGCAGGAACAGGUGCUGUUUGCCUGCCAUACGGGCAAGCGCCUGGUGUCGGUGUGCGCUUCCCGGGAGCUGAGCGAGUCGGCCGGCUACCUGCAGCUGCGCUAUGGCCAGCCCGAGGCGGUGGAGCUGGCCUGGCCCGAGGCAUCCUUCCCCCGCCUGCACGUGAGCCAGGGGGAGUUGUUCUACAGGGGCAAGGCGGGGCGCUACCUGCGCUUCACCAUGGACCGGACCCGCUUCGUGGUGUUCAGCGUCAAGGACCGGGACAGCGGCCUGGUGAUCGAACAGGACCGGGCGGUGAUCAGCAAGCAGCUCUGCCAGGGGCGGCCCACGCUUCAUCUCCAGGGGCUGCCCCUGCCCGUGACCGAGCUCCUGGCGGUGAGCAGCCGCUAGCCGCAGCUAGCGGACGAUGGGAAAACCCGA